This 465-nucleotide ribosomal RNA is filed under the name uncultured bacterium. Its description in RNAcentral is "partial 16S ribosomal RNA". It matches the Rfam family "Bacterial small subunit ribosomal RNA", at positions 338 to 795 of the family's 1533-position model. The record is from RNAcentral.
CCUACGGGUGGCAGCAGUAGGGAAUCUUCCACAAUGGGCGAAAGCCUGAUGGAGCAACGCCGCGUGGGUGAAGAAGGUCUUCGGAUCGUAAAACCCUGUUGUUAGAGAAGAAAGUGCGUGAGAGUAACUGUUCACGUUUCGACGGUAUCUAACCAGAAAGCCCCGGCUAACUACGUGCCAGCAGCCGCGGUAAUACGUAGGUGGCAAGCGUUAUCCGGAUUUAUUGGGCGUAAAGGGAACGCAGGCGGUCUUUUACGUCUGAGGUGAAAGCCGUGGGCUUAACCGGAGUAGGGCAUUGGAAACUGGGAGACGUGAGUGCAGAAGAGGAGAGUGGAACUCCAUGUGUAGCGGUGAAAUGCGUAGAUAUAUGGAAGAACACCAGUGGCGAAGGCGGCUCUCUGGUCUGUAACUGACGCUGAGGUUCGAAAGCGUGGGUAGCAAACAGGAUUAGAUACCCUAGUAGUC